This 235-nucleotide ribosomal RNA is filed under the name Escherichia coli. RNAcentral describes it as "partial 16S ribosomal RNA". It matches the Rfam family "Bacterial small subunit ribosomal RNA", at positions 893 to 1127 of the family's 1533-position model. Lineage: Bacteria; Pseudomonadati; Pseudomonadota; Gammaproteobacteria; Enterobacterales; Enterobacteriaceae. RNAcentral also lists the same sequence under 1 other name. The record is from RNAcentral.
GUUAAAACUCAAAUGAAUUGACGGGGGCCCGCACAAGCGGUGGAGCAUGUGGUUUAAUUCGAUGCAACGCGAAGAACCUUACCUGGUCUUGACAUCCACGGAAGUUUUCAGAGAUGAGAAUGUGCCUUCGGGAACCGUGAGACAGGUGCUGCAUGGCUGUCGUCAGCUCGUGUUGUGAAAUGUUGGGUUAAGUCCCGCAACGAGCGCAACCCUUAUCCUUUGUUGCCAGCGGUCC